UAAAAGAGCAAUCAGUUGAUUGUAUUCUUCGGUAGUGAAAGUGGGGCUGUCAUUGGGUUUGACGUGGGGCCCUGGGGUUGGAUCCUUUUCAGCAGUGUAGGCAGCCCGUCUGUUUUUGGGCUUGACAUUCUUCCCAUGGAGUUUGUGGCCCACAGGAAAUCCAUUAAGGAAAAAGCAGUUGUCAAUUGUGUGGGUGUCUCCAUCACAAUAAGAACAUUUCAGAGACUUCCUGAAGUUGGAGCUGUGUUUUCCAUCCCCAGCACCAGAGGAUUUCGCCGCUGCUGCUGAGUUGCCUGGGUUGGUGCCGCCCUUGGUGUUCGCAGAACGUAUGAUUUGCAUGGCAUGGGAUCCGAUCUUUCGAUUUGCCACGUCCAACUGCCUUUCGUGUUGGAGGAUCAAGCCAUGGACACGACGUGUGUCUGGGAUCGGCGACAUCAUCAGAAUUGACCCACGCACAGUUGAAUAAGGUGCUAUUUGUAGGUGCUGUUUUGAAUUUGAUGAAAAGAGAAGAGGAAAUUGAAAAGCAUACAAGGGAGAUUACUCCACCGAAGUUGAAGGAGAUGACCUCUCACGCCACCAGUACCCUAUUUCAGUGAGUAGCUAUUGAGCUUUGGACGGAUGGUCGCUACUUUCUGCAGGAGACACAUCAACUUAACAACCAGCGGCGGCUUAUGCGAAUGGAGGAAGACCCUGCUGUAGAUAUCUGGAUGGCAUAUGCGAGUCACUGGUUCUUCGAGGAACCCUUGUAAUUAUUUUCAAUGUUGUAGAUUCACUAAUCAUUUAUAAUUUCUCAUAUAUAGCUUUCAACCCUUUUUGAUUUGCACAACAGUGCUUUGUUUCCUUUAAUCACUCCAUCAUGUAUCUGUUCUAGUGCUAAUUUAUGAGUUGCUUGUAAAUGAUGAUUCUCGUUAAA
Prunus avium (sweet cherry) is the source of this 913-nucleotide long non-coding RNA. RefSeq lists it as uncharacterized. NCBI's taxonomy places the organism in Eukaryota, Viridiplantae, Streptophyta, Magnoliopsida, Rosales, Rosaceae. The record is from RefSeq and is a predicted model, not a curated record.